This 558-nucleotide ribosomal RNA is filed under the name uncultured bacterium. Its description in RNAcentral is "bacterial SSU rRNA". It matches the Rfam family "Bacterial small subunit ribosomal RNA", at positions 342 to 912 of the family's 1533-position model. The record is from RNAcentral.
CGGGAGGCAGCAGUGGGGAAUUUUCCGCAAUGGGCGAAAGCCUGACGGAGCAAUACCGCGUGAGGGAAGACUGCCUAUGGGUUGUAAACCUCUUUUUUCAGGGAGGAAUAAAAUGACGUGUACCUGAAGAAUAAGCAUCGGCUAACUCCGUGCCAGCAGCCGCGGUAAGACGGAGGUUGCAAGUGUUAUCCGGAAUCACUGGGCGUAAAGCGUCUGUAGGUGGUUUAAUAAGUCAACUGUUAAAUCUUGAGGCUCAACUUCAAAAUCGCAGUCGAAACUAUUAGACUAGAGUAUAGUAGAGGUAAAGGGAAUUUCCAGUGGAGCGGUGAAAUGCGUAGAUAUUGGAAAGAACACCGAUGGCGAAAGCACUUUACUGGGCUAUUACUAACACUCAGAGACGAAAGCUAGGGUAGCAAAUGGGAUUAGAUACCCCAGUAGUCCUAGCCGUAAACUAUGGAUACUAGAUGUUGAACAGAUCGACCUGUGCAGUAUCAAAGCUAACGCGUUAAGUAUCCCGCCUGGGAAGUAUGCUCGCAAGAGUGAAACUCAAAGGAAUUG